GAUAAAAUAAGCUAAUAAAAGCUAUUGGGCUCAUACCCCGAAAAUGGACUCAUCCCCUUUUAUCA
This 65-nucleotide transfer RNA is filed under the name Platynereis cf. australis PA-2020. RNAcentral's name for it is "tRNA-Met". Lineage: Eukaryota; Metazoa; Annelida; Polychaeta; Phyllodocida; Nereididae. The record is from RNAcentral.